This 376-nucleotide ribosomal RNA is filed under the name uncultured bacterium. Its description in RNAcentral is "bacterial SSU rRNA". It matches the Rfam family "Bacterial small subunit ribosomal RNA", at positions 524 to 898 of the family's 1533-position model. The record is from RNAcentral.
UACGUGUGGUCCGAGCGUUGUCCGGAAUGACUGGGCGUAAAGGGUGCGUAGGUGGACAUAUAAGUCAGGUGUGAAAUCCCCGAGCUUAACUUGGGAAUUGCGCUUGAAACUAUGUGUCUAGAGGAUGUCAGGGGUAGGCGGAAUUCCCGGAGUAGCGGUGAAAUGCGUAGAUAUCGGGAAGAACACCAGUGGCGAAGGCGGCUUACUGGGGCAUUACUGACACUGAGGCACGAAAGCGUGGGGAGCGAACAGGAUUAGAUACCCUGGUAGCCCACGCUGUAAACGAUGGAUACUAGUUGUCGGUGGCAUUAUCGCUGUCGGUGACGCAGCUAACGUAGUAAGUAUCCCGCCUGGGGAGUACGGUCGCAAGAUUAAA